This 498-nucleotide ribosomal RNA is filed under the name uncultured bacterium. RNAcentral describes it as "partial 16S ribosomal RNA". It matches the Rfam family "Bacterial small subunit ribosomal RNA", at positions 28 to 507 of the family's 1533-position model. The record is from RNAcentral.
GACGAACGCUGGCGGCGUGCCUAAUACAUGCAAGUCGAGCGGACGGAUGGGAGCUUGCUCCCAGACCGUCAGCGGCGGACGGGUGAGUAACACGUGGGCAACCUGCCUGUAAGACUGGGAUAACUCCGGGAAACCGGGGCUAAUACCGGAUAACUCUUUCCCUCACAUGAGGGAAAGCUGAAAGAUGGCAUCUCGCUAUCACUUACAGAUGGGCCCGCGGCGCAUUAGCUAGUUGGUGAGGUAACGGCUCACCAAGGCGACGAUGCGUAGCCGACCUGAGAGGGUGAUCGGCCACACUGGGACUGAGACACGGCCCAGACUCCUACGGGAGGCAGCAGUAGGGAAUCUUCCGCAAUGGACGAAAGUCUGACGGAGCAACGCCGCGUGAGUGAUGAAGGUUUUCGGAUCGUAAAACUCUGUUGUCAGGGAAGAACAAGUACCGGAGUAACUGCCGGUACCUUGACGGUACCUGACCAGAAAGCCACGGCCAACUACGUG